GAACGCUGGCGGCGUGCUUAACACAUGCAAGUCGAACGGUGAAGCCCUUCGGGGUGGAUCAGUGGCGAACGGGUGAGUAACACGUGGGCAAUCUGCCCUGCACUCUGGGACAACACCGGGAAACCGGUGCUAAUACCGGAUACGACGUACUCGGGCAUCCGAUGUGCGUGGAAAGCUCCGGCGGUGCAGGAUGAGCCCGCGGCCUAUCAGCUUGUUGGUGGGGUGAUGGCCUACCAAGGCGACGACGGGUAGCCGGCCUGAGAGGGCGACCGGCCACACUGGGACUGAGACACGGCCCAGACUCCUACGGGAGGCAGCAGUGGGGAAUAUUGCACAAUGGGCGCAAGCCUGAUGCAGCGACGCCGCGUGAGGGAUGAAGGCCUUCGGGUUGUAAACCUCUUUCAGCAGGGAAGAAGCGCAAGUGACGGUACCUGCAGAAGAAGCACCGGCUAACUACGUGCCAGCAGCCGCGGUAAUACGUAGGGUGCGAGCGUUGUCCGGAAUUAUUGGGCGUAAAGAGCUCGUAGGCG
Molecule: ribosomal RNA, 530 nt
Filed under: Peterkaempfera griseoplana
Lineage: Bacteria; Bacillati; Actinomycetota; Actinomycetes; Kitasatosporales; Streptomycetaceae
Description: bacterial SSU rRNA
Rfam family: Bacterial small subunit ribosomal RNA
Source: RNAcentral